RNAcentral lists this ribosomal RNA (254 nucleotides) under uncultured bacterium. Its description in RNAcentral is "partial 16S ribosomal RNA". It matches the Rfam family "Bacterial small subunit ribosomal RNA", at positions 524 to 776 of the family's 1533-position model. The record is from RNAcentral.
GACGAACCGUGCGAACGUUAUUCGGAAUCAUUGGGCUUAAAGGGCGCGUAGGCGGCGAUGUAAGUUGGAAGUGAAAUCCCAUCGGCUCAACCGUGGAAUCGCUCCCAGUACUGCAUUGCUCGAGGGGGAUAGGGGUCUGCGGAACUACCGGUGGAGCGGUGAAAUGUGUUGAUAUCGGUAGGAACGCCAGUGGCGAAAGCGGCAGACUAGACCCUUCCUGACGCUGCAGCGCGAAAGCUAGGGGAGCAAACGGG